Molecule: ribosomal RNA, 449 nt
Filed under: uncultured bacterium
Lineage: Bacteria
Description: bacterial SSU rRNA
Rfam family: Bacterial small subunit ribosomal RNA
Source: RNAcentral
UGGGGAAUUUUGGACAAUGGACGCAAGUCUGAUCCAGCCAUGCCGCGUGCGGGAAGAAGGCCUUCGGGUUGUAAACCGCUUUUGUCAGGGAAGAAAAGCUCUGGGCUAAUACCCUGGGAUGAUGACGGUACCUGAAGAAUAAGCACCGGCUAACUACGUGCCAGCAGCCGCGGUAAUACGUAGGGUGCAAGCGUUAAUCGGAAUUACUGGGCGUAAAGCGUGCGCAGGCGGUUAUGCAAGACAGAUGUGAAAUCCCCGGGCUCAACCUGGGAACUGCAUUUGUGACUGCAUAGCUAGAGUACGGUAGAGGGGGAUGGAAUUCCGCGUGUAGCAGUGAAAUGCGUAGAUAUGCGGAGGAACACCGAUGGCGAAGGCAAUCCCCUGGACCUGUACUGACGCUCAUGCACGAAAGCGUGGGGAGCAAACAGGAUUAGAUACCCCCGUAGUCC